AUGAUACUAGUAAUAAAAAUUACACUGCCUUGUCAAGACAGAGUUGUUGGUUAGAACCCGACGUGUCAAU
Molecule: transfer RNA, 70 nt
Filed under: Conger myriaster (whitespotted conger)
Lineage: Eukaryota; Metazoa; Chordata; Actinopteri; Anguilliformes; Congridae
Description: tRNA-Asp
Source: RNAcentral